UACGAAGGGGACUAGCGUUGUUCGGAAUUACUGGGCGUAAAGCGCACGUAGGCGGCUUCGUAAGUCAGGGGUGAAAUCCCGGAGCUCAACUUCGGAACUGCCUUUGAUACAGCACGUCUUGAGUCCGGAAGAGGUGGGUGGAAUUCCUAGUGUAGAGGUGAAAUUCGUAGAUAUUAGGAAGAACACCGGUGGCGAAGGCGGCCCACUGGUCCGGUACUGACGCUGAGGUGCGAAAGCGUGGGGAGCAAACAGG
Molecule: ribosomal RNA, 253 nt
Filed under: uncultured bacterium
Lineage: Bacteria
Description: partial 16S ribosomal RNA
Rfam family: Bacterial small subunit ribosomal RNA
Source: RNAcentral